Molecule: unclassified non-coding RNA, 192 nt
Filed under: Glomus sp.
Lineage: Eukaryota; Fungi; Glomeromycota; Glomeromycetes; Glomerales; Glomeraceae
Description: partial internal transcribed spacer 2
Source: RNAcentral
GUGAAUCAUCGAAUUUUUGAACGCACAUUGCACUCUCUUCGAAUAGUAUGGCUGUUUGUGGGUCAGCCUAAUAAAAAUCCUCAACGUUGCUGUUUCGCGGUGGCGCUUGUCGGAAAUUUGGCUAUCUUCUCUCUUUGGUUUAAGCGACUUAAAAUUUUCUUUACGACUACAUGAACGUUUCUAAGACUUUUU